Molecule: long non-coding RNA, 396 nt
Organism: Daphnia pulex (common water flea)
Lineage: Eukaryota; Metazoa; Arthropoda; Branchiopoda; Diplostraca; Daphniidae
Exons: 4
Source: RefSeq, a predicted model, not a curated record
CCCCCUCUUUAAUGUCAAUUAAUGUCGUCUGUAAAGCACGUUGAAUUCUGGGCUUUCACUCUUUCUCUCUCUCGUGUUAAACUGAUUUGUCCCUGAUUGCCCAAAGACAAUUUACUGGGUUUAAGGACCCAUGUGUGUGUGUGUCGCUCUUCUUCUUCUGAGAGACGUCACUUGAGUUGUAUCAGGUGUGUGACGGUAUAUCCAACAUUUGUGUGUCAUAGGACACUACUUGGCCCAUUCAGCUCUGGUUGUCGACUCUGUGUAUACGAGUGAUUCUCACUUUGUGCGUAGCCUGUCUCCACAGGAACCACCACCACUUCCAUUAUCACAAGUACACCGUGUUCAUUUUCAUGAGCCAAAGUCAAGUCGAACAAAAUACAAGAGAUUCUGCUCUUA